CAUGGUCGUACCUCAGUAUUUACAGAGUCAGUGACCAAUCUAGGACUGGUUCUAUGUUCCCACCAGGAAAAGAAAACGACUCACGUUUUCCAUCAGACAUCUUUGUGAAACCCACAGAAGCACACGAGAAGAUCAAGUGAGACCAAAGUUUAUUGAACCUGCAGAGAAACCAGAUCACUGCUGUGGAGACGACAGCACACUUAGAAAUAACAUAAAUAACAGCAAAGCUACUGAAGACAUGAAAACAUGGAUUACAUCUACAUUUUAGUUACAUACCAUUUAUUAUUGUUUAUGUGUAAAUUAUGUCUCGGUCAUGCUUUUAUUCUGAAAGGCCUGGUGAAGAAUUGUUCCCUCAAGUAUGAAAAGUAAAUAAAAUCUUUAUGGUAACAUUCUUCUUCUGCUUCUUUAUAAAAGAAAACAAUAACUUUCCAUUUGAACUUUCAGUGAUUUGAACUCAGAGGUUGUGUGAGGUUUCCUUCAUGAGGAGAACAAACAGAAUAUAAACCAGUGUGUUUACAGUGAAUGUGUCAGGUCUGAGCUGCCGUGUGGACCAGUUAGAGAGCAGCAGCUGGAUCCCAGUGGUUGGACUGGUGGACGACUUCAGUGAGGAGUCGAUGACAUUUGGCUCUGGUAGAAACUCUGCACACACAAACACACAGGAGGAAAAAAAAUUAAAAGAAGAUAUCCAAAAGAUUUUCAAAUUAAAGGUUUCACAUACAUGUGCACAAUAGCUGUUUGAAAUACAUAUUUGGUGGCCUGAAACAGGCAGAGUCCAUAAUUACAGAGAAUCCAACGAUGACUUUCAUACCAGCUUUGAUGGAAGCUACGACUCCUGUCCCCCAUUAAUGUGACUGGAAAUGUCCUCAAACUGGGCAGCACUGGUGGAUCAUCUUUGUACGUCUGAUAAGAGAUGAAUGCAGAGUAAACAUGAGGCUGUAACUGAGGACAAUAACUGAUCAGUGUUAACUUAUUACUUUAUUCUGUCAUUAUUGUUCAUUACUGUCAGUUACAAUGACUGUAUGAAUUGUAAUGACACGACACUCGCAGUCACACAGGUCUGUUCAACAUCACAAACCGCUGGUUGUCCCUCUUCCUCUCCCUCACAGCUCGUCUUCCUCACUCUCAGGACUGUCCCUCUCUGUACUGCAACAGUGUCAGAAACCCACAUUUGAUUUUGUUGUUUAUUUAUCAUAUUUAAUUUUUCAUCUAAUGUCUUUUUGAUUAAUGUGUGAAUUAGGGUAAUUGAGGUCUAUCAAUGUCAAAAAUCUCACUGUAUGAUUUCAGUCAGUGUUUAAAUAAAUCCAACAGGAAAUGAGAUGUUUAUGUUAAAACAGUGGCAGUGUUUUCAAAUGAUGGCACAGUGAUUGUGCUUAGAAAUACUUUUUUUUUUUUUUUUUACAGGAAUAUUAUGUGAAAUACAUUUUUGAGAGAUCAAAAUGUUGUCAUUCAGGAGAAAAUCUUCCCUUUUAACAGGAUCCAUGAAAACAACCUGCUCUAGAUGAAACACCAGCACGAACAUUAACACACAAAUUCAGCAGGAAUCCCCUGAAUGUAUCUUCAUAUUUCACAAUACUCGCAGAAAGGGAGGAGUCUAUGACUGUAUCAUCACUCGUCAUUAGUUCUGGGCAAGCGCUCCAAGCCGGUCUGGAACUUUUCACUUCAACUUUUGUACCACUCCGAUCUGAUCAGGACCCAAAAACUGCACGUAAUGGAUGUAACAUCAGUCUGCAGGAAUCUACUGGUUGUCCUUUUUUCUUGAUCGUGACUGCAGAUGCAGAUGCGGUACCUUUUAAAGACAGUCUGGCGCGUUGGCAAUGAGCGAUACAGCAGCUGGAUCGAUCACGUGACUUUGUCUUAAAGCGACGCACGCUUCGAGACAGGCUUCGCUCUGUGAGCUUGAUACAUGCGUCGGUGCGUCAGUGUUGCAGGACCCAUCACUAGUCGUGUGACCACAAAUUUUAAUAGAAGGAUUGAUCGACGGCGCGCAGGGAAACUAAUCAAUAUUAUCGCAGGUCAUGCAUAGAGCUGAUUCCCAGCUGCGCUGAGACCCAAAUAGUUUGCAGUGCGUGCCACGAUUGCAGUGUCGCUAAGCGGGGUGUGACGGGUUGCAGUGUUGUGUUAUUUUCACAACGUUUGUGUCGUAAGUCUCAUGUGCAGCUGGGAUAUCAGCAGGAUGUGUUGUAAGUCCUGUCUGGAAAUAACUGGGAAUUUGUAUGUCUAAUUAAUGUAAUAAAUACAUUAUCAAUUUAUAUCUUUGCCCCAUUUACUCAUCCUUUGUCCUCGGUUACACAACAACAACUACAACUAACUUAAUCUAAAUUAUUUAAUGUAUUUGGUAGACCAUAAAAACAGCAGAGCUGCAAAAACAAGUAGAUGUCAAAUAUUAAUAAAUACCAAUAACUAGAAAUGUGCAUAAAAGAGUUUUGCUGGGUGUUGUCAGUGUCAGUAGUGUGUAUGUAAUUUCUAUACAAUCCAUGCAAAGAAGCUGUCGUUAUUAACACAAAGUGGUGCUAAUAAAAUGGAAAGCACAAGUUUCUUAUAACACUAAAAUCUCAAAGUGCUUGACUUAUAUGUAUAAAUCAUUUUAUGUACUAUUAAACACUUUUAUUGUGAAAGCACGAAAACGGAAACUCUCACUGUAAUGAUCCUGUGUAAUCACCACACAGGUUUACAGCUGUUGGUUUUGGCUCUGUUGGUGUUUUUGCUUUGUUUUGUUUUUUGUUAUUGCUAACCCUUAAAGUUUGGAUUUGUUUGGCUGAAUUUUAAAUUCAUGUCAUGUUCUAAGAAUAUCUCCAACACAACAGGCUGAUAUGCAGCUCCAAACCAUGAUUGGCUGCUGUACAAGUGAAUGGUUUUAACUUUGACCUCUCUGCUCUGUGUUGUUUCCUCUUUCAG
Long non-coding RNA from Astatotilapia calliptera (eastern happy), 2895 nucleotides. NCBI's taxonomy places the organism in Eukaryota, Metazoa, Chordata, Actinopteri, Cichliformes, Cichlidae. The record is from Ensembl.